RNAcentral lists this ribosomal RNA (253 nucleotides) under uncultured bacterium. RNAcentral's name for it is "partial 16S ribosomal RNA". It matches the Rfam family "Bacterial small subunit ribosomal RNA", at positions 524 to 776 of the family's 1533-position model. The record is from RNAcentral.
UACGAAGGGGGCUAGCGUUGCUCGGAAUCACUGGGCGUAAAGGGUGCGUAGGCGGGUCUUUAAGUCAGGGGUGAAAUCCUGGAGCUCAACUCCAGAACUGCCUUUGAUACUGAAGAUCUUGAGUACGGGAGAGGUGAGUGGAACUCCGAGUGUAGAGGUGAAAUUCGUAGAUAUUCGGAAGAACACCAGUGGCGAAGGCGACUCACUGGCCCGUUACUGACGCUGAGGCGCGAAAGCGUGGGGAGCAAACAGG